Molecule: non-coding RNA, 797 nt
Organism: Podarcis lilfordi (Lilford's wall lizard)
Lineage: Eukaryota; Metazoa; Chordata; Lepidosauria; Squamata; Lacertidae
Source: the annotation of a GenBank genome assembly
CAGGGCUUUAGAUGCCUUCUAAAAGUCAAAUAGUUGUUUAUCUCCUUGACAUCUGGUGGGAGAGCAUUCCACAGGGUGGGCGCCACCACCGAGAAGGCCUUCUUGCCUGGUUCCCUGUAACUUGGCUUCUCGCAGUGAGGGAACCACCAGAAGGCCCUCGGAGCUGGACCUCAGUGUCCUGGCAGAACGAUGGGGGUGGAAAUGCAGUGGUCACUCAGCGCUACCUUCUGACAUAGCAUCAUUAGGUAGGAGCAUAUUGUCCUCCUGACCCUCUGCCUUUUGGACUUAAGUUCCCUAGUCUUUCCUGCUGCUGCAUCCUGUCAAAACUAACUAUCCUUCAUAUACCAAGCCCCCUCUUUCCUGUCAAAACCACACUCUCCUUCCUGUUCCCAGCCCCCUUUCCUUUGGCUCCUCUUUUCCUCAGCUGCUUGUUUCUCUUCUCUUUCUCUUUUUUAGGUCUUUGGUUCUUCCAUCCAUAUCUAAGGUCUUUGCUCCCCUCACUCCAUUGCCUGCUCUGUCCUUCCUUUAUACUUCCAAUUCAAUACCGCCUUCUGCAAGUCAGAAAAAUGGAGCCAUUGGGUUUGACCCCAGAUCACACAGCUCUUUUUGCAUAAGGCACAGGGAACACGUGGGGUUGUUGGGUUUGAAUUGACUACGGUUCAGCAUAUCGUCCUAAGAGACCUCCUGUGUUUGUUUAUCCACAAACUGUUGCUAUGCCCUGAGAUUCUUCUAGUGCGAGUAAAUGAAGAAGCCCUAUAUGGACUGGAGUAACAGCUAUUAAGAUAAGGCUUUGGGGC